AUUAUACAGGGAGUGCAGAAUUAUUAGGCAAAUUAGUAUUUUGACCACAUCAUCCUCUUUAUGCAUGUUGUCUUACUCCAAGCUGUAUAGGCUCGAAAUCCUACUACCAAUUAAGCAUAUUAGGUGAUGUGCAUCUCUGUAAUGAGAAGGGGUGUGGUCUAAUGACAUCAACACCCUAUAUCAGGUGUGCAUAAUUAUUAGGCAACUUCCUUUCCUUUGGCAAAAUGGGUCAAAAGAAGGACUUGACAGGCUCAGAAAAGUCAAAAAUAGUGAGAUAUCUUGC
This 283-nucleotide long non-coding RNA is filed under the name Pelobates cultripes (western spadefoot toad). The record is from RNAcentral. Lineage: Eukaryota; Metazoa; Chordata; Amphibia; Anura; Pelobatidae.